This 433-nucleotide long non-coding RNA is filed under the name Falco tinnunculus (common kestrel). RNAcentral describes it as "lncRNA (ENSFTIG00000006233.1)". The record is from RNAcentral. Lineage: Eukaryota; Metazoa; Chordata; Aves; Falconiformes; Falconidae.
UAUAAGCAGAUGCAGUGAGUUUGAAUUAACUUAUUAUGCCUGCUCUUGCAAGUGGGGAGUUUGACUGCUAUUUCCAGUUCUUCAACUAUACCUUGGUUUCUGUAAGACCAACAAUGAAGAACAGAAGGAAUUCAAAGAGGAGAGCAAGUUGUAGAGCCCUUCUAUCACCCCUCUAGUCAUUUCUUUCCUCUUGACUGGCUAUGCUGGUGUUUUGAAAUAGGGGCAACCUAUUUCAACGUGGCUCACUGCCUCUACCAUGUCAUCUGGCUUGCAUUGCUGAAUGGUGCUUAGAGUCCCUGAGAACUCCCCUAAACCUGUUUCCUUUUAUAAGGGCAGCUGGCAGUUGUCAUCUAACUUUUUGGGGUUUUUUUCAUUUUAGCUGUUUGCUAGAUGCAGUUUCACCCUUCUAGUCAUGCAGGCUUUUGCAUUUGGA